CAGCCGCCGCGGGAAAACGUAGGUGGCAAGCGUUGUCCGGAAUUAUUGGGCGUAAAGGGCUCGCAGGCGGUUUCUUAAGUCUAAUGUGAAAGCCCCCGGCUCAACCGGGGAGGGUCAUUGGAAACUGGGAAACUUGAGUGCAGAAGAGGAGAGUGGAAUUCCACGUGUAGCGGUGAAAUGCGUAGAGAUGUGGAGGAACACCAGUGGCGAAGGCGACUCUCUGGUCUGUAACUGACGCUGAGGAGCGAAAGCGUGGGGAGCGAACAGGAUUAGAUACCCCGGUAGUCCCUGUCUCUUAUAC
RNAcentral lists this ribosomal RNA (301 nucleotides) under uncultured bacterium. RNAcentral's name for it is "partial 16S ribosomal RNA". It matches the Rfam family "Bacterial small subunit ribosomal RNA", at positions 509 to 807 of the family's 1533-position model. The record is from RNAcentral.